RNAcentral lists this ribosomal RNA (468 nucleotides) under uncultured bacterium. RNAcentral describes it as "partial 16S ribosomal RNA". It matches the Rfam family "Bacterial small subunit ribosomal RNA", at positions 28 to 507 of the family's 1533-position model. The record is from RNAcentral.
GACGAACGCUGGCGGCGUGCUUAACACAUGCAAGUCGAACGGAAAGGCCCUGCUUUUGUGGGGUGCUCGAGUGGCGAACGGGUGAGUAACACGUGAGUAACCUGCCCUUGACUUUGGGAUAACUUCAGGAAACUGGGGCAAUAACGGGAAAGAAGCUCUUGCUCCUGGGGGGGGGUGGGAAAGUUUCGGCGGUUGGGGAUGGACUCGCGGCUUAUCAGCUUGUUGGUGGGGUAGUGGCUUACCAAGGCUUUGACGGGUAGCCGGCCUGAGAGGGUGACCGGCCACAUUGGGACUGAGAUACGGCCCAGACUCCUACGGGAGGCAGCAGUGGGGAAUAUUGCACAAUGGGCGGAAGCCUGAUGCAGCAACGCCGCGUGCGGGAUGACGGCCUUCGGGUUGUAAACCGCUUUCGCCUGUGACGAAGCGUGAGUGACGGUAAUGGGUAAAGAAGCACCGGCUAACUACGUG